Molecule: ribosomal RNA, 403 nt
Filed under: Bacteroidota bacterium
Lineage: Bacteria; Pseudomonadati; Bacteroidota
Description: Bacteroidetes bacterium partial 16S ribosomal RNA
Rfam family: Bacterial small subunit ribosomal RNA
Source: RNAcentral
UGGGGAAUAUUGCACAAUGGAGGGAACUCUGAUGCAGCGACGCCGCGUGAACGAAGAAGGCUUUCGAGUCGUAAAGUUCUGUUAUAUGGGAAGAUAAUGACGGUACCAUAAGAAAAAGCCCCGGCUAACUACGUGCCAGCAGCCGCGGUAAUACGUAGGGGGCUAGCGUUGUCCGGAAUCACUGGGCGUAAAGGGUUCGCAGGCGGAAAUGCAAGUCAGGUGUAAAAGGCAGUAGCUUAACUACUGUAAGCAUUUGAAACUGCAUAUCUUGAGAAGAGUAGAGGUAAGUGGAAUUUUUAGUGUAGCGGUGAAAUGCGUAGAUAUAUGGAGGAACACCAGUGGCGAAGGCGACUCUCUGGUCUGUAACUGACGCUGAGGCUCGAAAGCGUGGGUAGCAAACAGG